Molecule: ribosomal RNA, 460 nt
Filed under: uncultured bacterium
Lineage: Bacteria
Description: partial 16S ribosomal RNA
Rfam family: Bacterial small subunit ribosomal RNA
Source: RNAcentral
CCUACGGGAGGCAGCAGUGAGGAAUAUUGGUCAAUGGACGAGAGUCUGAACCAGCCAAGUAGCGUGAAGGAUGACUGCCCUAUGGGUUGUAAACUUCUUUUAUAUGGGAAUAAAAUGUUCCACGUGUGGGAUUUUGUAUGUACCAUACGAAUAAGGAUCGGCUAACUCCGUGCCAGCAGCCGCGGUAAUACGGAGGAUCCGAGCGUUAUCCGGAUUUAUUGGGUUUAAAGGGAGCGUAGGUGGAUUGUUAAGUCAGUUGUGAAAGUUUGCGGCUCAACCGUAAAAUUGCAGUUGAAACUGGCAGUCGUGAGUACAGUAGAGGUGGGCGGAAUUCGUGGUGUAGCGGUGAAAUGCUUAGAUAUCACGAAGAACUCCGAUUGCGAAGGCAGCUCACUGGACUGCAACUGACACUGAGGCUCGAAAGUGUGGGUAUCAAACAGGAUUAGAUACCCCAGUAGUC